RNAcentral lists this ribosomal RNA (497 nucleotides) under uncultured bacterium. RNAcentral describes it as "partial 16S ribosomal RNA". It matches the Rfam family "Bacterial small subunit ribosomal RNA", at positions 28 to 507 of the family's 1533-position model. The record is from RNAcentral.
GAUGAACGCUGGCGGCGUGCCUAAUACAUGCAAGUCGAGCGAACAGACGAGGAGCUUGCUCCUCUGACGUUAGCGGCGGACGGGUGAGUAACACGUGGAUAACCCACCUAUAAGACUGGGAUAACUUCGGGACACCGGAGCUAAUACCGGAUAAUAUAUUGAACCGCAUGGUUCAAUAGUGAAAGACGGUUUUGCUGUCACUUAUAGAUGGAUCCGCGCCGCAUUAGCUAGUUGGUAAGGUAACGGCUUACCAAGGCAACGAUGCGUAGCCGACCUGAGAGAGUGAUCGGCCACACUAGAACUGGGACACGGACCAGACUCCUACGGGAGGCAGCAGUAGGGAAUCUUCCGCAAUGGGCGAAAGCCUGACGGAGCAACGCCGCGUGAGUGAUGAAGGUCUUCGGAUCGUAAAGCUCUGUUAUUAGGGAAGAACAAAUGUGUAAGUAACUAUGCACGUCUUGACGGUACCUAAUCAGAAAGCCACGGCUAACUACGUG